This 335-nucleotide ribosomal RNA is filed under the name Klebsiella pneumoniae. Its description in RNAcentral is "partial 16S ribosomal RNA". It matches the Rfam family "Bacterial small subunit ribosomal RNA", at positions 896 to 1231 of the family's 1533-position model. Lineage: Bacteria; Pseudomonadati; Pseudomonadota; Gammaproteobacteria; Enterobacterales; Enterobacteriaceae. The record is from RNAcentral.
AAAACUCAAAUGAAUUGACGGGGGCCCGCACAAGCGGUGGAGCAUGUGGUUUAAUUCGAUGCAACGCGAAGAACCUUACCUGGUCUUGACAUCCACAGAACUUUCCAGAGAUGGAUUGGUGCCUUCGGGAACUGUGAGACAGGUGCUGCAUGGCUGUCGUCAGCUCGUGUUGUGAAAUGUUGGGUUAAGUCCCGCAACGAGCGCAACCCUUAUCCUUUGUUGCCAGCGGUUAGGCCGGGAACUCAAAGGAGACUGCCAGUGAUAAACUGGAGGAAGGUGGGGAUGACGUCAAGUCAUCAUGGCCCUUACGACCAGGGCUACACACGUGCUACAAU